GGGAAGUGCUGGGAAACUUCAACUGCCACACGAUCUCAUUGAACUUAUUCUCAGUUGACGAUCAUCAAAAUGUAGAGAGAUUCUAAGAAUGUGGAUCGCUUCACUGUCCACAAUCAAGGAAGUUUCAACCUUUUUGCUAUGGUGAUGAAGAAGCUUCAACUCCAUGUCAGCACUUCACACAUUAUUUGUUUGUAUAUCUAUUGGUUUUACUUUGCGG
This 217-nucleotide unclassified non-coding RNA is filed under the name Hevea brasiliensis (rubber tree). Lineage: Eukaryota; Viridiplantae; Streptophyta; Magnoliopsida; Malpighiales; Euphorbiaceae. The record is from RNAcentral.